Molecule: ribosomal RNA, 442 nt
Filed under: uncultured bacterium
Lineage: Bacteria
Description: bacterial SSU rRNA
Rfam family: Bacterial small subunit ribosomal RNA
Source: RNAcentral
CCUACGGGGGGCAGCAGUGGGGAAUUUUCCGCAAUGGGCGAAAGCCUGACGGAGCAACGCCGCGUGAGGGAUGAAGGCCUCUGGGCUGUAAACCUCUUUUAUCAAGGAAGAAGAUCUGACGGUACUUGAUGAAUAAGCCACGGCUAAUUCCGUGCCAGCAGCCGCGGUAAUACGGGAGUGGCAAGCGUUAUCCGGAAUUAUUGGGCGUAAAGCGUCCGCAGGCGGCCCUUCAAGUCUGCUGUUAAAAAGUGGAGCUUAACUCCAUCAUGGCAGUGGAAACUGUUGGGCUUGAGUGUGGUAGGGGCAGAGGGAAUUCCCGGUGUAGCGGUGAAAUGCGUAGAUAUCGGGAAGAACACCAGUGGCGAAGGCGCUCUGCUGGGCCAUCACUGACGCUCAUGGACGAAAGCCAGGGGAGCGAAAGGGAUUAGAUACCCCCGUAGUC